AGUGAACGCUGGCGGUAGGCCUAACACAUGCAAGUCGAACGGCAGCACAGAGGAGCUUGCUCCUUGGGUGGCGAGUGGCGGACGGGUGAGGAAUACAUCGGAAUCUACUCUGUCGUGGGGGAUAACGUAGGGAAACUUACGCUAAUACCGCAUACGACCUACGGGUGAAAGCAGGGGACCUUCGGGCCUUGCGCGAUUGAAUGGGCCGAUGUCGGAUUAGCUAGUUGGCGGGGUAAAGGCACACCAAGGCGACGAUCCGUAGCUGGUCUGAGAGGAUGUGCAGCCACACUGCAACUGAGACACGGUCCAGACUCCUACGGGAGGCAGCAGUGGGGAAUAUUGGACAAUGGGCGCAAGCCUGAUCCAGCCAUACCGCGUGGGUGAAGAAGGCCUUCGGGUUGUAAAGCCCUUUUGUUGGGAAAGAAAUCCAGCUGGCUAAUACCCGGUUGGGAUGACGGUACCCAAAGAAUAAGCACCGGCUAACUUCGUGCCAGCAGCCGCCGCCG
This 506-nucleotide ribosomal RNA is filed under the name uncultured bacterium. RNAcentral describes it as "partial 16S ribosomal RNA". It matches the Rfam family "Bacterial small subunit ribosomal RNA", at positions 29 to 523 of the family's 1533-position model. The record is from RNAcentral.